RNAcentral lists this ribosomal RNA (497 nucleotides) under uncultured bacterium. RNAcentral's name for it is "partial 16S ribosomal RNA". It matches the Rfam family "Bacterial small subunit ribosomal RNA", at positions 28 to 507 of the family's 1533-position model. The record is from RNAcentral.
GAUGAACGCUGGCGGCGUGCCUAAUACAUGCAAGUCGAGCGAACAGAUGAGGAGCUUGCUCCUCUGACGUUAGCGGCGGACGGGUGAGUAACACGUGGAUAACCUACCUAUAAGACUGGGAUAACUUCGGGAAACCGGAGCUAAUACCGGAUAAUAUAUUGAACCGCAUGGUUCAAUAGUGAAAGACGGUUUUGCUGUCACUUAUAGAUGGAUCCGCGCCGCAUUAGCUAGUUGGUAAGGUAACGGCUUACCAAGGCAACGAUGCGUAGCCGACCUGAGAGGGUGAUCGGCCACACUGGAACUUAGACACGGUCCAGACUCCUACGGGAGGCAGCAGUAGGGAAUCGUCCGCAAUGGGCGAAAGCCUGACGGAGCAACGCCGCGUGAGUGAUGAAGGUCUUCGGAUCGUAAAACUCUGUUAUUAGGGAAGAACAAAUGUGUAAGUAACUAUGCACGUCUUGACGGUACCUAAUCAGAAAGCCACGGCUAACUACGUG